AAAUAGAAGGUCAGACCAUUCGGAUGGCAGCAGUGAAUUUAAAAUUGUCCACAACAUCAGUUCGUGUCUGCAGAAUCGAAACAGUCAGACAUAUUGGGUAGAGUUACAUCGUGGGUACAUCAAAAUGAUUAAAUUGAUUUUUGUAAUGAUCAUGAGUCUGGCUGUGAAAGACGUUCACCUUCAGCGAUCAUCUUAUGCUGGUUCGGCAAAUAAAUUUCGUGGUCAACCAGUAAAUCUAGCACCAGAAGUGCCCUCUCUUCCAACGACAGGACUUUCACCAUCAGUAGCUACGGAAGCUAGAAGUAUUCCGACGACAGGACUUUCACCAUCAAUAGCUACACAAGCUGGAAGUGUUGAAUUAGUGACUAGUGCAACAGCAACUACAACCACCCCGAUACCGAUAACUCAACCUAAAGUUUCCUUGUUGUCGGGACGAUUCGGUGAAUUUGAUUUGAAUCAGAACAACGAUCAAUAUCGUGACUACUAUGAGCAUCGUCAUCAUCAGGGCGAUUGGCAUAAAAACCACCGAAAUAGGCAUUUUGAUUAUGGAUUUUUUUGAAUAAAGAGUGAGAUAUCAUUGUGACUGAGUGACAAAAA
Bradysia coprophila is the source of this 597-nucleotide long non-coding RNA. NCBI's taxonomy places the organism in Eukaryota, Metazoa, Arthropoda, Insecta, Diptera, Sciaridae. The record is from RefSeq and is a predicted model, not a curated record.